GAGUACGGCCGCAAGGUUAAAACUCAAAUGAAUUGACGGGGGCCCGCACAAGCGGUGGAGCAUGUGGUUUAAUUCGAUGCAACGCGAAGAACCUUACCUGGUCUUGACAUCCACAGAACUUUCCAGAGAUGGAUUGGUGCCUUCGGGAACUGUGAGACAGGUGCUGCAUGGCUGUCGUCAGCUCGUGUUGUGAAAUGUUGGGUUAAGUCCCGCAACGAGCGCAACCCUUAUCCUUUGUUGCCAGCGGUCCGGCCGGGAACUCAAAGGAGACUGCCAGUGAUAAACUGGAGGAAGGUGGGGAUGACGUCAAGUCAUCAUGGCCCUUACGACCAGGGCUACACACGUGCUACAAUGGCGCAUACAAAGAGAAGCGACCUCGCGAGAGCAAGCGGACCUCAUAAAGUGCGUCGUAGUCCGGAUUGGAGUCUGCAACUCGACUCCAUGAAGUCGGAAUCGCUAGUAAUCGUGGAUCAGAAUGCCACGGUGAAUACGUUCCCGGGCCUUGUACACACCGCCCGUCACACCAUGGGAGUGGGUUGCAAAAGAAGUAGGUAGCUUAACCUUCGGGAGGGCGCUUACCACUUUGUGAUUCAUGACUGGGGUGAAGUCGUAACAAGGUAACCGUAGGGGAACCUGCGGUUGGAUCACCUCCUUACCUUAAAGAAGC
This 667-nucleotide ribosomal RNA is filed under the name Salmonella enterica subsp. enterica serovar Napoli. Its description in RNAcentral is "bacterial SSU rRNA". It matches the Rfam family "Bacterial small subunit ribosomal RNA", at positions 878 to 1533 of the family's 1533-position model. Lineage: Bacteria; Pseudomonadati; Pseudomonadota; Gammaproteobacteria; Enterobacterales; Enterobacteriaceae. The record is from RNAcentral.